Molecule: ribosomal RNA, 413 nt
Filed under: uncultured microorganism
Description: bacterial SSU rRNA
Rfam family: Archaeal small subunit ribosomal RNA
Source: RNAcentral
GUGCACCAGUCGAGAAACCUCCGCAAUGCGGGAAACCGCGACGGGGGACCCCGAGUGCCGUGGCAACGCCACGGCUUUUCCGGAGUGUAAAAAGCUCCGGGAAUAAGGGCUGGGCAAGGCCGGUGGCAGCCGCCGCGGUAAUACCGGCGGCCCGAGUGGUGGCCGCUAUUAUUGGGCCUAAAGCGUCCGUAGCCGGGCCCGUAAGUCCCUGGCGAAAUCCCACGGCUCAACCGUGGGGCUUGCUGGGGAUACUGCGGGUCUUGGGACCGGGAGAGGCGGGGGGUACCCCUGGGGUAGGGGUGAAAUCCUAUAAUCCCAGGGGGACCGCCAGUGGCGAAGGCGCCCCGCUGGAACGGGUCCGACGGUGAGGGACGAAGGCCAGGGGAGCAAACCGGAUUAGAUACCCCCGUAGU